Non-coding RNA from Pelobates cultripes (western spadefoot toad), 78 nucleotides. NCBI's taxonomy places the organism in Eukaryota, Metazoa, Chordata, Amphibia, Anura, Pelobatidae. The record is from the annotation of a GenBank genome assembly.
UGUGUGUGUGUGUGUGUGUGUGUAUGUAUGUAUGUAUGUGUAUAUAUAUAUAUAUACACACACACACACAGACACACC